Molecule: long non-coding RNA, 879 nt
Organism: Eriocheir sinensis (Chinese mitten crab)
Lineage: Eukaryota; Metazoa; Arthropoda; Malacostraca; Decapoda; Varunidae
Exons: 3
Source: RefSeq, a predicted model, not a curated record
UACACAGCAGCGGGUGAGACACUGUAGCAACCAUCCCUGCACUCCUUCAUCUUCGGCUUUCACUAGUCACUGCAGGAUUAAGGCUUCUCCCGGCACUCUCCACCUGGUCCUGUCUGGUGUUAGUGUGCUCCAUACUAAUCCUGCUCCAGCAAUGGUUCUAAUUCCACCUCUCUGCCUGGUCCUCUGUCUGGUGUUAGUGUGCUCCAUACUAAUCCUGCUCCAGCAAUGGUUCUAAUUCCACCUCUCCACCUGGUCCUCUGUCUGGUGUUAGUGUGCUCCAUACUAAUCCUGCUCCAGCAAUGGUUCUAAUUCCACCUCUCCGCCUGGUCCUCUGUCUGGUGUUAGUGUGCUCCAUACUAAUCCUGCUCCAGCAAUGGUUCUAAUUCCACCUCUCCGCCUGGUCCUCUGUCUGGUGUUAGUGUGCUCCAUACUAAUCCUGCUCCAGCAAUGGUUCUAAUUCCACCUCUCCACCUGGUCCUCUGUCUGGUGUUAGUGUGCUCCAUCCCGCCCCGGCAAAGGUUCUAAUUCCACCUCUCCACCUGGUCCACUGUCUGGUGUUAGUGUGCUCCAUCCCGCCCCGGCAAAGGUUCUAAUUCCACCUCUCCACCUGGUCCUCUGUCUGGUGUUAGUGUGCUCCAUCCCUUUAUUGUAAUUUCUCCUUUCCUCCUCAUGGUUCCCUAACCCAAUAUCUUCACAUUCUUCGUCAGUAUUUAUUUGCAGCUCUUCACGGUCACUUUUUCCCACUGGGUCCUCGUGCAGUACUGAUAGUGUGUGUGAAGUGGGAUGACUGAUAAGUAUGAAAAGAACUGCAGUAAACCCUUGAUAUAAUGGACUAAUUGGGGGGGACUUUAGUCCGUUGAUGCCGAAAGUCCAUUAUAA